GAUGAACGCUGGCGGCGUGCUUAACACAUGCAAGUCGAACGAUGAAGCUCAGCUUGCUGGGUGGAUUAGUGGCGAACGGGUGAGUAACACGUGAGUAACCUGCCCUUAACUCUGGGAUAAGCCUGGGAAACUAGGUCUAAUACCGGAUAGGAGCGCCUACCGCAUGGUGGGUGUUGGAAAGAUUUAUCGGUUUUGGAUGGACUCGCGGCCUAUCAGCUUGUUGGUGAGGUAAUGGCUCACCAAGGCGACGACGGGUAGCCGGCCUGAGAGGGUGACCGGCCACACUGGGACUGAGACACGGCCCAGACUCCUACGGGAGGCAGAAGUGGGGAAUAUUGCACAAUGGGCGAAAGCCUGAUGCAGCGACGCCGCGUGAGGGAUGACGGCCUUCGGGUUGUAAACCUCUUUCAGUAGGGAAGAAGCGAAAGUGACGGUACCUGCAGAAGAAGCACCGGCUAACUACGUG
Molecule: ribosomal RNA, 466 nt
Filed under: uncultured bacterium
Lineage: Bacteria
Description: partial 16S ribosomal RNA
Rfam family: Bacterial small subunit ribosomal RNA
Source: RNAcentral